Molecule: RNA transcript, 5326 nt
Organism: Lagenorhynchus albirostris (white-beaked dolphin)
Lineage: Eukaryota; Metazoa; Chordata; Mammalia; Artiodactyla; Delphinidae
Gene: AGGF1
Gene name: angiogenic factor with G-patch and FHA domains 1
Exons: 15
Source: RefSeq, a predicted model, not a curated record
CAAUCGCUUCUGGUCCCUGCUUCGCUGGCCAGCCCAUUUCUCCAACGUUUCGGUGGCUUACUCGGUCUCCGGGCAGGUGGUUACCAAUAAAGUUUUACUGUUUCAAAGCCGGGAGGACUGGGCCCAUUCUCGGUCCCCUUGCUCGCUGCCCACAGUUCGCCUCGGCUACGGGUAACCAGCUUUAGGGCCUCAUGGCCGCGGGCCGCCGCGGCCGUGCGGGGAUGAGGCCGCCUUUCGCUGUCCGCGCGCUCCCGUGGCUUCUGGGUCCGUCGGCGACCGUCUCAGCUUGAGCGCAGUCCCUCCACUCCCGCGGGCCGCUUCGCGCCGGACCCCAUGGCCUCUGAGGCGCCGCCGCCUUCGUUGUCGCCAUCGCCACCUCCCUCCCCCGAGCCUGAGCUGGCCCAGCUGAGGCGGAAGGUGGAAAAGUUGGAACGCGAGCUGCGGAGCUGCAAGCGGCAAGUGCGGGAGAUCGAGAAGCUGCUGCAUCACACAGAGCGGCUGUACCAGAGCGCCGAGAGCAACAACCAGGAGCUCCGCACCCAGGUAGAAGAGCUCAGUAAAAUACUCCGUUGUGGGAGAAACGAAGAUAAUAAAAAGUCUGAUGUAGAAGUACAAACAGAGAACCACCCUCCUUGGUCAAUCUCAGCAUCUGAACUCCCAGUUCAGGAAGAUCAGGAUAUCAAAGCUUCUACUUUUAAUUCUAAAGACCAGUCACACAUAGAAAAUGAUGCUUAUGCUGGUACUGAUAUAACAGAAAAUGUUAAUUGUGGACAAGAGGACCAUUUUGCCUCAAAUUCACAGGAGCCAGCAUCUGUGUUAGCAACAGAAGAUACAUCCUUAGAAGGUUCAUCACUAGCUGAAAGUUUGAGAGCUGCAGCAGAAGCUGCUGUAUCACAGACUGGAUUUAGUUAUGAUGAGAAUACUGGAUUGUAUUUUGAUCACAGCACUGGAUUCUAUUACGAUUCUGAAAAUCAACUAUAUUAUGAUCCUUCCACUGGAAUUUAUUACUACUGUGAUGUGGAAAGUGGUCGAUAUCAAUUUCAUUCUCGAGUAGAUUUGCAGCCUUAUCAGACUUCUGGCACAAAACAAAGUAAAGAUAAAAAAUUGAAGAAGAAAAGAAAGGAUCUUGAUUCUUCUACAACAAAUGAGGAAAAGAAUUUGAAUUCAGAAGAUCAAAAAACAUCAAGUAUUGAACAUAUAAGCUGCAGUGAGGGAGAAGAUUUUGCAAGUGUGAAAAAGAAGGCCAAAAUAGACAUUCAUUACAAAAAGAGUCCCCCCAAAUAUACUGUUCCAGUUAGCGCAAAGACUGUAGAAUCUCCUCUUGAUGAAAACAUUUAUAAUUCGGCUUCAUUUAAAGAUGAGAAAAUCAUAGACACUGAUAGUGAGCCUGAAGAAGGUGAAAUUACAGACUCUCAGACCGAGGACAGUUAUGAUGAAGACAUUACCAGUGAAGACAAUGUAACUGCAGAAGAUUCUGAAGAUGAAGAUGAAGAAAAAAUUUGGCCCCCAUGUAUUAGAGUAAUUGUAAUUAGAUCACCUGUGUUGCAGACAGGAUCACUUUUUAUCAUUACAGCUGUAAAUCCUGCUACAAUUGGAAGAGAAAAAGAUAUGGAGCAUACUCUCCGAAUCCCUGAAGUUGGUGUCAGUAAGUUUCAUGCAGAAAUUUAUUUUGAUCACGACUUACAAAGUUAUGUCCUUGUGGAUCAAGGCAGUCAAAAUGGUACAAUUGUAAAUGGAAAACAGAUUCUUCAACCCAAAACUAAAUGUGACCCUUACAUACUUGAGCAUGGAGAUGAAGUGAAAAUUGGAGAGACUGUGUUGUCCUUUCACAUUCACCCUGGCAGUGAUACCUGUGAUGGCUGUGAACCAGGGCAGGUUAGAGCUCACCUUCGUCUUGAUAAGAAAGAUGAACCUUUUGUUGGUCCAACUCUAAGUAAGGAGGAAAAAGAGCUGGAAAGGAGAAAAGAAUUAAAGAAAAUACGAGUAAAAUAUGGUUUGCAGAAUACAGACUACGAAGAUGAAAAGGCUUUGAAGAAUCCAAAAUAUAAAGAUAGAGCUGGAAAACGUAGGGAGCAGAUUGGAAGUGAAGGAACUUUCCAAAGAGAUGAUGCUCCUGCAUCUGUUCAUUCUGAAAUUACUGAUAGCAAUAAAGGUCGGAAGAUGUUGGAAAAGAUGGGUUGGAAAAAAGGAGAGGGCCUAGGGAAGGACGGUGGAGGAAUGAAAACUCCGAUCCAGCUUCAACUUCGGCGAACACAUGCAGGCUUGGGGACAGGCAAGCCAUCUUCAGUUGAAGAUGUUCACCUUCUCCAAAACAAGAGCAAAAAGAACUGGGAGAAAGCACGAGAGAGGUUUGCUGAAAACUUCCCCGAAACUAAAUCUCAGAAAGAUGCACCAGGGACUGUGCCUUGGGUCAAAGGGACUGUAGAGUGAAGGUCAGUCAUAGAACACAAAAGCUUUUUUAUAGAAUUUGGAAACUCUUGUUUAAUUGCAGAAAUUUUCUCUCCAGAAGAGUCAGUGGCAUGAGGGAACCGUGUCACAAUUUACCCCCUCUUGAUUCAGAAAUGUGUAAUAAAGUGUGGUUUGCCGUUUUGGUUUUUUUUUUUUUUUUUUUCCGGUACGUGGGCCUCUCACUGUUGUGGCCUCUCCCAUUGCGGAGCACAGGCUCUGGAUGUGCAGGCUCAGCGGCCAUGGCUCACGGGCCCAGCCGCUCCGCCGCAUGUGGGACCCUCCCAGACUGGGGCACGAACCCGCGUCCCCUGCAUCGGCAGGCGGACUCUCAACCACUGCGCCACCAGGGAAGCCCUGGUUUGCAGUUUUUAAAAAACAUUUUUAAAAACUAAUAAAUAGUGACUGAAUCAAGUUAUGCUAUGAGUGGACUAAAGUUCACAGGGCACAGAUGAGCUUAUCAAGCUUUGUUACUUUAUUUUGUCAUUUGCAAGACCCAUAGAAGUAACUAGCCAUAUAAGCAAAAUUCAUGUAACCACUAGCUUAAAUGUACAUUUGUCCUUGUCUCCUUAUAUUCUCCAUUAUUGUACGAUGCAUAACAAAAGAAACAUCGAAAGUUUAUAAAAACAAUUCUGACUAUAUACAUCCUUGUUUAUGCCCUUUAGGACCUAGGUAGAAAAUGUUGAGAAAAUAUGGGUAGUGGUGUAUAAAUGUUAUUAUAUUUGAAAUAACCCAAGUAAUAUUAUUGAAGAACUAAUGAACAGCUGACAUGUUGUAGCAAAUCAGUCUCAUUGUUUUCUUCUGUGAAGAAUCUGUUGAUUUGUACUAUAUAUUAAGCAUUUACCUUUGGUUUGUUUCAUAGCUGAAAUACUUAGGUAUGAACAGUUGAGUACAGUAUUGAAUUAUUCAGUGUGCUGGCAUUUGUAGUUUUGAUAAAUCCCAUUGCUGGCAAUGGAGUUGUGCCAGAAAAAUCUGAUUUCUACUGCAGAAGGGUUACCUAGCCAAGGCCUCAAACUCAAGAUACUUAUUGAAAACGUCUUCAAAUGCAAUGGAAAACAUUAUAACAUCAAAAAGAAUGAUUCAUUGAACCAAUAAUUUAAACAUACUGGUCUGCUUUGAACUCAUGACCAGCCAGAAUUUUCCUCUGUAAAUUGGCAGCACAGUAAUGAAAGGAUACCCUCAGAUUUUCGGAGACUGCAGUGCAGCUUUCUGAGUGCAGGUGUCACCGCUCUGCCCGUUAACACUGUUCUUUUCCUUUCUGUUCAACUUUUCUCUCAGCUUUUUGCUGGGAAAUCAAUGCUGGAACUGAUCUUUUCUCAUCAUGAAUAUAAGCUAUAUAGCUCCUUCAUCUACUAUAAGGAAAUGUCUUCAAGAUAUAGAAAUAGGAAAGGAAAAUUCUGGAAAAAAGUAUGCAGUGGGGAAGAUAAUUCAAAAAGAAAGCUACCUCCCGGAGUUUCUAGUCUUAAUGUACAGGGUACUUAGGAAGAAAGGGCGGUGUGGAAAGAAAAAUAAAUAUAUUACUAAAGAUGAGACAUAUGACCAAACAAUUGUCAAGUUAUUAAAGGCCUAAGAUGGGAAAAACAGAGGUCCUAUAAUUCUAAAAAUCUAGAUUAAGUAUUUUUCUGUAUCCUUUUUGGCCACCUACAUACCCUAACACAUACACAUAUAUGUACAUUAGACUUGGAGGCACUAGGAGUGUCCUGCAUUAUUUUCUCUAAAGUAGAAAAAUUACUCAUCUAAAUGUGGUUCUGGUGCCGGUGCCCUACAUAUAGGUAACAAUAUAGGACCCUCAGAGUAAACUUGCUUCUGGUAGAUCUCAACUCAUUGGGUUAGUAUCCAACUGUCUAUGUAAUAUUUCCCAUUUUUACUAUUAGAUUGUGGAAAACUUUUUCAUUGUUUUCUUUUGUUAAGAAAAUGGAAACUUGAAAAUGGUGAUAAAAAUUGAAAUAUAUGUGAUAUUUGCUUUAUUAAAACCCUUUGCAGAUCUAAAGUCUCAGGGCUAUACUAUACUGGUUAAAGCACUGAAUAAUGUCUGGUUCUAUUUCUACCUAUGAAAUGAGAAUAUUUAACUCACAUGUUUGUCUUGAAUAGAAAAUGGGAAAAUGUAUGUAAAAGCACUUUGUAAAUUGUAAAAGUAGUACAAAUGUGAGCUUCUGUUUGUUUAGAAGCAUAAAUAUGGAUUAUGUACAAUUUGAAUUACACAUAAAGUUGUUUUGCGUCUAAUAUUUAAAACUAUAGUUUAUUCAUGCAGUAUAAAUUUAUUAACUUAAUAGCCUUUAAGUGUUUAAGUGGAGCUACAAGUUGCUGAAUUUUGAGAAAUCUAACAUAUUUUGCCAGAACAUGAGAAGCUGGCAAAAUUGAGAACGGAAGAAACCAUCACCAUUACAGUGAAAUAACAGAAAUUGUUUUCUAGAAUUAAAUAGCCAGGAAGCACUUUUUCUCAGAAAGGGGGGGGGUUUCUGUCUGUUUUUAAAAGUUUUUACUUCUGAUGUUUCACUUACUCUAGUUGUGAACUUAUGAAAAGUUAUGGUUCACCCAAUUCAAACACCUUCCAACUUUUCAUGUAAAAGAUUAUUUCUUAAUUUGGCACAUUUUCAAGGGGCAGGCAAAAGAAAUAGAAAUUUCCAACAAGGAGAGAUUGUAUACAAAGGCCUUCCUUAACGAGUUGCAGGAAAGAGGGGUGUGCUUGGCAGGGAGCCAGAAAGGCGUUUCUAGACCUAGCAUCCAAAAGUGUUCUCAAGAACAGCUGAAAGUAUUUCCCCAUUGUGGUGUUCUAAGUGUGCUUCUUAUUUUUGUAGGGCAUCACUUAUAUCUCUGCCUUGACUCUUUGAUCUAAAACAUUUCCUUUUACUUUUUCAGGCUUAAAGUGGAAAUACAUUUG